Molecule: long non-coding RNA, 392 nt
Organism: Glossina fuscipes
Lineage: Eukaryota; Metazoa; Arthropoda; Insecta; Diptera; Glossinidae
Exons: 2
Source: RefSeq, a predicted model, not a curated record
AUUAGCACAGGUUCCUGUACAUGUAUUUGCUGCUCUUUCAUUUAGUUCUCAGUUGCGGUGCUUGCAAAGCGAACGUGUGCGUUUUCACAAAAGUAGAUGAACGGGAAAAUUUAUUUAGAUUAAAACAAAAAAAAAAAAAAAAACUUGCCUUCUUUUCUGCUCUGUGUGUGUUAUAUUUGAUUGUGUGUGAAGAUGUAUGCUUGUAUGCGUGUGCCACUAAAGGUAUCAAUAAUGAAACCUAAUGUUUUUAAAACAAUCAACAGUGAACUGUAAAUAUCAACAAUAAAAAAAAUAAAAAUAAAAAAACAAAAUAACAACAGCAGCAACAACAAUAGUAGUAAAAAAAUAAGAAUAACAUCAGCAAAGAAUGUCAAUUUAAUUUGACAGUUGAA